CAGCUAAUUGCGCGUCAACUUGUGAACUGCAGGACACAUGAACAUUGACAUUUCGAACGCACAUUGCGGUCCUCGGAUACUGUUCCCGGACCACUCCUGGCUGAGGGUCGUAU
Molecule: ribosomal RNA, 113 nt
Filed under: Lema sp. HS-25
Lineage: Eukaryota; Metazoa; Arthropoda; Insecta; Coleoptera; Chrysomelidae
Description: partial 5.8S ribosomal RNA
Rfam family: 5.8S ribosomal RNA
About the family: 5.8S ribosomal RNA (5.8S rRNA) is a component of the large subunit of the eukaryotic ribosome. It is transcribed by RNA polymerase I as part of the 45S precursor that also contains 18S and 28S rRNA.
Source: RNAcentral